RNAcentral lists this ribosomal RNA (253 nucleotides) under uncultured bacterium. RNAcentral's name for it is "partial 16S ribosomal RNA". It matches the Rfam family "Bacterial small subunit ribosomal RNA", at positions 524 to 776 of the family's 1533-position model. The record is from RNAcentral.
UACAGAGGUCUCAAGCGUUGUUCGGAUUCAUUGGGCGUAAAGGGUGCGUAGGCGGCGCGGUAAGUCGGGUGUGAAAUCUUGGAGCUUAACUCCGAAACUGCAUUCGAUACUGCCGUGCUUGAGGACUGGAGAGGAGACUGGAAUUUACGGUGUAGCGGUGAAAUGCGUAGAUAUCGUGAGGAAGACCAGUGGCGAAGGCGGAUCUCUGGACAGUUCCUGACGCUGAGGCGCGAAGGCCAGGGGAGCAAACGGG